UACGUAGGGGGCAAGCGUUGUCCGGAAUUAUUGGGCGUAAAGAGUUCGUAGGCGGUUUUUCGCGUCGUUUGUGAAAACCAGCAGCUCAACUGCUGGCUUGCAUUCGAUACGGGCAGACUUGAGUACUGCAGGGGAGACUGGAAUUUCUGGUGUAGCGGUGAAAUGCGCAGAUAUCAGGAGGAACACCGGUGGCGAAGGCGGGUCUCUGGGCAGUAACUGACGCUGAGGAACGAAAGCGUGGGUAGCGAACAGG
This 253-nucleotide ribosomal RNA is filed under the name uncultured bacterium. RNAcentral describes it as "partial 16S ribosomal RNA". It matches the Rfam family "Bacterial small subunit ribosomal RNA", at positions 524 to 776 of the family's 1533-position model. The record is from RNAcentral.